Procambarus clarkii (red swamp crayfish) is the source of this 186-nucleotide non-coding RNA. The record is from RefSeq and is a predicted model, not a curated record. NCBI's taxonomy places the organism in Eukaryota, Metazoa, Arthropoda, Malacostraca, Decapoda, Cambaridae.
GUACCAUUUUUGCAAAUAAAAUCUCUUCUUAUCUGCUUAAUAUCUGAUACGAUCCCCAUGUGGGAUCCUCGAUAUUAAACUGAUUUUUGCAACAUGGCGAAGUGCUAGGAGCUUGCUCCACCUUUGCCGCAGAUCGGCGCGGUAUUGCAGUUAGAAAAAAUACGUUGUUGUUGUUGUUUAAAAUUC